Molecule: microRNA precursor, 121 nt
Filed under: Marmota monax (woodchuck)
Lineage: Eukaryota; Metazoa; Chordata; Mammalia; Rodentia; Sciuridae
Source: RNAcentral
UAAGGUGACCAAUUUGUCCAAGUCUGCCUGGGACUGUCCUGGUUUUCGGAAGUCCAGCUCCCCAGGACUCUGCUCCCCUUAGUCCCAGACACACUAGGACAGUUGGUGACCCUGGCUUGUU